UUUAAGUGCAACCAUAAGUUUCCGUGUCCAACUUUGAUCAUCCGUCUACUUUGAAUUUUUUUAUAAUUAGUAUUUUUAUUGUUAUGAGAUUAUAAAAUAUGAAUAGUACUUUAUAUGUGACUUAUGUUUUUCAUUUUUUUCAAUUUUUUUUCAAAUAAAAUGGAUGGUCAAAGUUGUGUACAGAAAAACAUGGUUGCACUUAAA
This is a non-coding RNA of Oryza meridionalis, 204 nucleotides long. The record is from Rfam. Lineage: Eukaryota; Viridiplantae; Streptophyta; Magnoliopsida; Poales; Poaceae.